This is a long non-coding RNA of Centruroides sculpturatus (bark scorpion), 163 nucleotides long. RefSeq lists it as uncharacterized. The record is from RefSeq and is a predicted model, not a curated record. The transcript has 2 exons. NCBI's taxonomy places the organism in Eukaryota, Metazoa, Arthropoda, Arachnida, Scorpiones, Buthidae.
AUUAAAAAUUAUAUUUUUUUUAUCAGGAUUAGUAGAUAAUCCAGGCAACAAAGAAUUUGAUUGGCAACAAUAUCUUAAUUUUUGUAAAGCGGAAGUUGCACCUUGCGAACUGUUCAAAGGAAAAUUUAUCAACUUAGGAUUGGAACCAGGAAUGAAAUUAGAA